This 73-nucleotide transfer RNA is filed under the name Daphnia galeata. It matches the Rfam family "tRNA". Rfam says of the family: Transfer RNA (tRNA) molecules are approximately 80 nucleotides in length. Their secondary structure includes four short double-helical elements and three loops (D, anti-codon, and T loops). The record is from Rfam by way of RNAcentral. Lineage: Eukaryota; Metazoa; Arthropoda; Branchiopoda; Diplostraca; Daphniidae.
GGCCGGUUAGCUCAGACGGUAGAGCGCGAGAUUUUGAAUACUGAGGUCAAGGGUUCAAGUCCCUUAUCGGGCG